GAGAGCCGUAUACGCCGAGAGGUGUACGUGCGGUUCGGGAGGGAGUGAGCCUGAAACCUACCGCAGAAAUGCGAAAAGGCGCAGGACUUGCUUACCUCAU
RNAcentral lists this non-coding RNA (100 nucleotides) under Ruminiclostridium sufflavum DSM 19573. The record is from RNAcentral. Lineage: Bacteria; Bacillati; Bacillota; Clostridia; Eubacteriales; Oscillospiraceae.